AUAGGGCAAGCGCGGUAUUGGAUAUCCGCGUCCAAGCAGUUAGGCUGGGAAAUAGGCAAAUCCGUUUCCCGUAAGGCUGAGCUGUGAUGGCGAGCGAAAUAUAGUAGCGAAGUUCCUGAUUCCACACUGCCAAGAAAAGCCUCUAGCGAGGUGAGAGGUGCCCGUACCGCAAACCGACACAGGUAGGCGAGGAGAGAAUCCUAAGGUGAUCGAGAGAACUCUCGUUAAGGAACUCGGCAAAAUGACCCCGUAACUUCGGGAGAAGGGGUGCUCUGUUAGGGUGCAAGCCCGAGAGAGCCGCAGUGAAUAGGCCCAGGCGACUGUUUAGCAAAAACACAGGUCUCUGCGAAGCCGUAAGGCGAAGUAUAGGGGCUGACGCCUGCCCGGUGCUGGAAGGUUAAGAGGAGCGCUUAGCGUAAGCGAAGGUGCGAAUUGAAGCCCCAGUAAACGGCGG
This 454-nucleotide ribosomal RNA is filed under the name Bacillus licheniformis. RNAcentral describes it as "bacterial LSU rRNA". It matches the Rfam family "Bacterial large subunit ribosomal RNA", at positions 1482 to 1933 of the family's 2925-position model. The record is from RNAcentral. Lineage: Bacteria; Bacillati; Bacillota; Bacilli; Caryophanales; Bacillaceae.